UAAAUACUCCCUCCGUCCAACAAAUGAUGUCUCAACUUUGAAUGCAUCUAUACACUAAGUUAUGUCUAGAUACAUUCAAAUUUUGACAAACUUGAGACAUUUUUUGUUGGACGGAGGAAUAUAAA
Non-coding RNA from Brachypodium distachyon (stiff brome), 125 nucleotides. Lineage: Eukaryota; Viridiplantae; Streptophyta; Magnoliopsida; Poales; Poaceae. The record is from Rfam.